GACGAACGCUGGCGGCGUGCUUAACACAUGCAAGUCGAACGGAAAGGCCUCUUUCGGGGGGUACUCGAGUGGCGAACGGGUGAGUAACACGUGAGUAACCUGCCCUUGACUUUGGGAUAACUUCAGGAAACUGGGGCUAAUACCGGAUAGGAGCUCCUGCUGCAUGGUGGGGGUUGGACAGUUUCGGCGGUUGGGGAUGGACUCGCGGCUUAUCAGCUUGUUGGUGGGGUAGUGGCUUACCAAGGCUUUGACGGGUAGCCGGCCUGAGAGGGUGACCGGCCACAUUGAGACUGAGAGACGGCCCAGACUCCUACGGGAGGAAGCAGUGGGGAAUAUUGCACAAGGGGUGGAAGCCGGAUGCAGCAACGCUGUGUGUGGGAUGACGGCCUUCGGGUUGAAAACCGCUUUCGCUCAUGACGAUGCUUUGUGUGACGGUAGUGGGUAAAGAAGCACCGGCUAACUACGUG
This 467-nucleotide ribosomal RNA is filed under the name uncultured bacterium. RNAcentral's name for it is "partial 16S ribosomal RNA". It matches the Rfam family "Bacterial small subunit ribosomal RNA", at positions 28 to 507 of the family's 1533-position model. The record is from RNAcentral.